GGCGUAGCCGGCUCCCGCAAGGGCGUCUGUAUAGGUGCUGCAUGGCUGUCGUCAGCUCGUGUCGUGAGAUGUUGGGUUAAGUCCCGCAACGAGCGCAACCCUCGUCCUCUGUUGCCAUCAGGUCAAGCUGGGCACUCUGAGGAGACUGCCGGUGAUAAACCGGAGGAAGGUGGGGAUGACGUCAAGUCAGCAUGGCCUUUAUGUCCAGGGCCACACACGUGCUACAAUGGCGGAUACAAAGCGCUGCAAACCCGCGAGGGUGAGCCAAUCGCAUAAAGUCCGUCUCAGUUCGGAUUGUAGGCUGCAACUCGCCUGCAUGAAGUUGGAAUCGCUAGUAAUCGCGGAUA
Molecule: ribosomal RNA, 347 nt
Filed under: uncultured Acidobacteriota bacterium
Lineage: Bacteria; Pseudomonadati; Acidobacteriota
Description: bacterial SSU rRNA
Rfam family: Bacterial small subunit ribosomal RNA
Source: RNAcentral